This 119-nucleotide ribosomal RNA is filed under the name Capsicum annuum. The record is from RNAcentral. Lineage: Eukaryota; Viridiplantae; Streptophyta; Magnoliopsida; Solanales; Solanaceae.
UGAUCUGAUUAUACCCGCAAUAACAUAUCGAAUUUCAUAAGAACUCUAAAGUUAAUCGUACUUAGACGAAAGUAGUACUAGGAUGAGUGACCUCUUAAGAAAUUCUCGUGUUGCUUCUC